Molecule: ribosomal RNA, 809 nt
Filed under: uncultured organism
Description: bacterial SSU rRNA
Rfam family: Bacterial small subunit ribosomal RNA
Source: RNAcentral
GUGAGGAAAGCGCCCCUUCGGGGGAGAGUGUUUGAGGAGGGAUCUGCGGCCCAUCAGCUAGUUGGUGAGGUAACGGCUCACCAAGGCGAAGACGGGUAGGGGGUGUGAGAGCAUGGCCCCCCACAAUGGGACUGAGACACGGCCCAUACUCCUACGGGAGGCAGCAGCGGGGAAUAUUGCGCAAUGGACGGAAGUCAGACGCAGCGACGCCGCGUGGGUGUGGAAGGCCUUCGGGUUGUAAAGCCCUUUUCAGGGGAGCGAGAAAGGACGGUACCCUUGGAAUAAGCGUCGGCUAACUACGUGCCAGCAGCCGCGGUAAGACGUAGGACGCAAGCGUCAUCCGGAUUUACUGGGCGUAAAGCGCCUGUAGGCGGUCAAGUAAGUCGGAUGUGAAAGCCCCGUGCUCAACGCGGGGAAGCCAUUCGAUACUGCGUGACUAGAGAACGGCAGAGGGAAACGGAAUUUCUGGUGUAGCGGUAAAAUGCGCAGAGAUCAGAAAGAACACCGAUGGCGAAGGCAGUUUCCUAGGCCGCAUCUGACGCUGAGAGGCGAAAGCUAGGGGAGCAAACAGGAUUAGAGACCCUGGUAGUCCUAGCUGUAAACGAUGGAUGCUAGGUGUGGGCCGGAAAGGUCCGUGCCGUAGUUAACGCGAUAAGCAUCCCGCCUGGGGAGUACGGCCGCAAGGCUAAAACUCAAACGAAUUGACGGGGACCCGCACAAGCAGCGGAGCGUGUGGUUUAAUUCGAUGCUACACGCAGAACAUUACCUGGGCUUGACAUGUAGGUGGUAGUGAAGUGAAAGCGGAGCGA